This 460-nucleotide ribosomal RNA is filed under the name uncultured bacterium. RNAcentral describes it as "partial 16S ribosomal RNA". It matches the Rfam family "Bacterial small subunit ribosomal RNA", at positions 338 to 795 of the family's 1533-position model. The record is from RNAcentral.
CCUACGGGUGGCAGCAGUGAGGAAUAUUGGUCAAUGGACGAGAGUCUGAACCAGCCAAGUAGCGUGAAGGAUGACUGCCCUAUGGGUUGUAAACUUCUUUUAUAUGGGAAUAAAAUGUUCCACGUGUGGGAUUUUGUAUGUACCAUAUGAAUAAGGAUCGGCUAAUUCCGUGCCAGCAGCCGCGGUAAUACGGGGGAUCCGAGCGUUAUCCGGAUUUAUUGGGUUUAAAGGGAGCGUAGGUGGACUGUUAAGUCAGUUGUGAAAGUUUGCGGCUCAACCGUAGAAUUGCAGUUGAAACUGGCAGUCUUGAGUACAGUAAAGGUAGGCGGAAUUCGUGGUGUAGCGGUGAAAUGCUUAGAUAUCACGAAGAACUCCGAUUGCGAAGGCAGCACACGGGACUGCAACUGACACUGAGGCUCGAAGGUGUGGGUAUCGAACAGGAUUAGAUACCCCAGUAGUC